This 359-nucleotide long non-coding RNA is filed under the name Gallus gallus (chicken). RNAcentral's name for it is "lncRNA (ENSGALG00010010658.1)". Lineage: Eukaryota; Metazoa; Chordata; Aves; Galliformes; Phasianidae. The record is from RNAcentral.
GGAGUGGGUGUGCUUUCCAAGCCGGGCACCUUCAUCAAAAUGUGAUAAUUUGGAAGGAGAAUACUCACCUCGAUGGCACUGAAAUAUCAAGCAAAGGGAUACAGAACUUUACCUCAUAUCUGAGAGAAUCCAGCAACUGUUCACAGAGAUGAUGAAGGAACUGGAACAUCUCUACUAUAUCUCUCUUCCAAGAGAGCUCAGAUUCUUCAGCCUAGAGAAGAAGAGAUACAGGGGAAUUCAUCAGUGUCUGUAUAGAAGAAAAAAAGGAAUUGUCUAUACAAACUCUGUUGCAUUCCACAAACUGAAAUUCAGAAAGAAUGUUUUGAGGAUAAGUUGUGCUGCUAAAUCCUACAUCUUCA